AAUAAGUUUAUUCGUAGGUUUCUAUAUCCAACGUUGACUAUUCAUCUUGUUUGAAACUUUUUUAUGAUUAGUAGUUUUAUUGUUAUUAGAUGACAAAAAUAUCAAUAUUACUUUAUGUGUGACUUUUUUUUUCAUAAAUUUUUCAAAUAAUAUAGGUGGUCAAACAUCAGCAGGCAACUGUAGGUUGACUUUCAG
Molecule: microRNA precursor, 195 nt
Filed under: Oryza glumipatula
Lineage: Eukaryota; Viridiplantae; Streptophyta; Magnoliopsida; Poales; Poaceae
Description: MIR812 microRNA precursor family
Rfam family: MIR812 microRNA precursor family
Source: Rfam by way of RNAcentral